Molecule: ribosomal RNA, 422 nt
Filed under: Aegilops speltoides
Lineage: Eukaryota; Viridiplantae; Streptophyta; Magnoliopsida; Poales; Poaceae
Description: eukaryotic LSU rRNA
Rfam family: Eukaryotic large subunit ribosomal RNA (bases 278-422)
Source: RNAcentral
UUGACGCAAGUUGCGCCCGAGGCCACUCGGCCGAGGGCACGCCUGCCUGGGCGUCACGCCAAAACACGCUCCCAACCACCCUCAACGGGAAUCGGGAUGCGGCAUCUGGUCCCUCGUCUCGCAAGGGGCGGUGGACCGAAGAUCGGGCUGCCGGUGUACCGCGCCGGACACAGCGCAUGGUGGGCGUCCUCGCUUUAUCAAUGCAGUGCAUCCGACGCGCAGCUGGCAUUAUGGCCUCUAAACGACCCAACAAACGAAGCGCACGUCGCUUCGACCGCGACCCCAGGUCAGGCGGGACUACCCGCUGAGUUUAAGCAUAUAAAUAAGCGGAGGAGAAGAAACUUACAAGGAUUCCCCUAGUAACGGCGAGCGAACCGGGAGCAGCCCAGCUUGAGAAUCGGGCGGCUGUGCCGUCCGAAUUG